Molecule: ribosomal RNA, 497 nt
Filed under: uncultured bacterium
Lineage: Bacteria
Description: partial 16S ribosomal RNA
Rfam family: Bacterial small subunit ribosomal RNA
Source: RNAcentral
GAUGAACGCUGGCGGCGUGCCUAAUACAUGCAAGUCGAGCGAACAGACGAGGAGCUUGCUCCUCUGACGUUAGCGGCGGACGGGUGAGUAACACGUGGAUAACCUACCUAUAAGACUGGGAUAACUUCGGGAAACCGGAGCUAAUACCGGAUAAUAUAUUGAACCGCAUGGUUCAAUAGUGAAAGACGGUUUUGCUGUCACUUAUAGAUGGAUCCGCGCCGCAUUAGCUAGUUGGUAAGGUAACGGCUUACCAAGGCAACGAUGCGUAGCCGACCUGAGAGGGUGAUCGGCCACACUGGAACUGAGACACGGUCCAGACUCCUACGGGAGGCAGCAGUAGGGAAUAUUCCGCAAUGGGCGAAAGCCUGACGGAGCAACGCCGCGUGAGUGAUGAAGGUCUUCGGAUCGUAAAACUCUGUUAUUAGGGAAGAACAAAUGUGUAAGUAACUAUGCACGUCUUGACGGUACCUAAUCAGAAAGCCACGGCUAACUACGUA